CUACGUGCCAGCAGCCGCGGUAAUACGGAAGGUUCGGGCGUUAUCCGGAUUUAUUGGGUUUAAAGGGAGCGUAGGCUGGAGAUUAAGUGUGUUGUGAAAUGUAGACGCUCAACGUCUGACUUGCAGCGCAUACUGGUUUCCUUGAGUACGCACAACGUUGGCGGAAUUCGUCGUGUAGCGGUGAAAUGCUUAGAUAUGACGAAGAACUCCGAUUGCGAAGGCAGCUGACGGGAGCGCAACUGACGCUUAAGCUCGAAGGUGCGGGUAUCGAACAGGAUUAGAUACCCUGGUAGUCCGCACAGUAAACGAUGGAUGCCCGCUGUUGGUACCUGGUAUCAGCGGCUAAGCGAAAGCAUUAAGCAUCCCACCUGGGGAGUACGCCGGCAACGGUGAAACUCAAAGGAAUUGACGGGGGCCCGCACAAGCGGAGGAACAUGUGGUUUAAUUCGAUGAUACGCGAGGAACCUUACCCGGGCU
Molecule: ribosomal RNA, 477 nt
Filed under: uncultured bacterium
Lineage: Bacteria
Description: bacterial SSU rRNA
Rfam family: Bacterial small subunit ribosomal RNA
Source: RNAcentral